UACGGGGGGGGCAAGCGUUGUUCGGAUUUACUGGGCGUAAAGGGCGCGUAGGCGGUCAGCACAAGUCAGUUGUGAAAUCUCCGGGCUUAACUCGGAAAGGUCAACUGAUACUGUGCGACUAGAGUGCAGAAGGGGCAACUGGAAUUCUCGGUGUAGCGGUGAAAUGCGUAGAUAUCGAGAGGAACACCUGCGGCGAAGGCGGGUUGCUGGGCUGAUACUGACGCUGAUGCGCGAAGGCCAGGGGAGCGAACGGG
RNAcentral lists this ribosomal RNA (254 nucleotides) under uncultured bacterium. RNAcentral's name for it is "partial 16S ribosomal RNA". It matches the Rfam family "Bacterial small subunit ribosomal RNA", at positions 524 to 776 of the family's 1533-position model. The record is from RNAcentral.